AUGUCUGCAACUAUAUGUUUCAAUCACUCCUUGGUUCUUAACUGUGUGAUCUGCCUUUUCUCAAAGGUUCUGACUUGUCUGUAUUGAUAAGGAAGUCAGUGGGAACUGAGAAUACCCAGAACUUUGGAAAUUACGGUGUUCAUACAGCACAGGGAGACCUCUAAGCAGCUCUCUGGGCUGUCCAUGCAGAAUUGCAGAGGGUGGUUCUCUAAGGAAGUUAACAGAGCUUUAUAUGGAAGGAUAAAUUUCUUCAGAAUAUGUUAUGGAAGACCAGUUCCUCUAGUAACAUGUUGCUGUAGCCAAGGCAGCCAAGACCAGUUCCUCAGUGCAACCAUGCUACAAAGAAUUGCAGACAGAGAGAAUUGA
This 366-nucleotide long non-coding RNA is filed under the name Cyanistes caeruleus (blue tit). RNAcentral describes it as "lncRNA (ENSCCEG00000013988.1)". The record is from RNAcentral. Lineage: Eukaryota; Metazoa; Chordata; Aves; Passeriformes; Paridae.